UUAAGUUCAGCGGGUAACUCCUACCUGAUCCGAGGUCAACCGUGGAAGAAUAGUGGAUGACCGACGCCCGCGGGUCCGUCCCGAGCGGGUGACAAAGCCCCAUACGCUCGAGGACCUGGGCGGAACGUCGCCGCUGCCUUUCGGACAGGUCCCCCACCGAUCGGGGGGGACCACGCCCAACACACAAGCCGCGCUUGAGG
RNAcentral lists this unclassified non-coding RNA (200 nucleotides) under Talaromyces sp. Its description in RNAcentral is "partial internal transcribed spacer 2". Lineage: Eukaryota; Fungi; Ascomycota; Eurotiomycetes; Eurotiales; Trichocomaceae. The record is from RNAcentral.